GAAAUGCGAUAAGUAAUGUGAAUUGCAGAAUUCAGUGAAUCAUCGAAUCUUUGAACGCACCUUGCGCUCCUUGGUAUUCCUUGGAGCAUGCCUGUUUGAGUAUCAUGAAAUCUUCAAAGUAAAUCUUUUGUUAACUCAAUUGGUUUCUACUUUGGUAUUGGAGGUCUUUGCAGCUUCACACCUGCUCCUCUUUGUUCAUUAGCUGGAUCUCAGUGUUAUGCUUGGUUCCACUCGGCGUGAUAAGUUAUCUAUCGCUGAGGACACUGUAAAAGGUGGCCAAGGUAAAUGCAGAUGAGCCGCUUCUAAUAGUCCAUUGACUUGGACAAUACUUUUAUGAUCUGAUCUCAAAUCAGGUAGGACUACCCGCUGGACUUAAGC
RNAcentral lists this unclassified non-coding RNA (378 nucleotides) under plant metagenome. Its description in RNAcentral is "partial contains 5.8S ribosomal RNA, internal transcribed spacer 2, and large subunit ribosomal RNA". The stretch from base 1 to 105 matches the Rfam family "5.8S ribosomal RNA", at positions 50 to 154 of the family's 154-position model. The record is from RNAcentral.